GCCCUUGUAGCUCAGUGGAUUGAGAGCGCCUGGCUUCUAGCGUCUGCUACGCACGAUACCAGGCGGUCGAAGGUUCGAACCCUUCCUGGGGCG
Non-coding RNA from Hyaloraphidium curvatum, 93 nucleotides. Lineage: Eukaryota; Fungi; Monoblepharomycota; Hyaloraphidiomycetes; Hyaloraphidiales; Hyaloraphidiaceae. The record is from the annotation of a GenBank genome assembly.